RNAcentral lists this ribosomal RNA (426 nucleotides) under uncultured prokaryote. RNAcentral describes it as "bacterial SSU rRNA". It matches the Rfam family "Bacterial small subunit ribosomal RNA", at positions 355 to 796 of the family's 1533-position model. The record is from RNAcentral.
UGGGGAAUUUUCCGCAAUGGGGGCAACCCUGACGGAGCAACGCCGCGUGCGGGAGGAAGGCCUUUGGGUUGUAAACCGCUUUUCUCAGGGAAGAAGCUCUGACGGUACCUGAGGAAUCAGCCUCGGCUAACUCCGUGCCAGCAGCCGCGGUAAUACGGAGGAGGCAAGCGUUAUCCGGAAUUAUUGGGCGUAAAGCGUUCGCAGGUGGUUAUUCAAGUCCGCUGUCAAAGACCGGGGCUUAACCCUGGAGAGGCAGUAGAAACUGAAAAACUAGAGACCGGUAGGGGUAGAGGGAAUUCCCAGUGUAGCGGUGAAAUGCGUAGAGAUUGGGAAGAACACCAGUGGCGAAAGCGCUCUACUGGGCCGGUACUGACACUCAGGGACGAAAGCUAGGGUAGCGAAAGGGAUUAGAUACCCCCGUAGUCC